Molecule: transfer RNA, 65 nt
Filed under: uncultured Ruminococcus sp.
Lineage: Bacteria; Bacillati; Bacillota; Clostridia; Eubacteriales; Oscillospiraceae
Rfam family: tRNA
About the family: Transfer RNA (tRNA) molecules are approximately 80 nucleotides in length. Their secondary structure includes four short double-helical elements and three loops (D, anti-codon, and T loops). Further hydrogen bonds mediate the characteristic L-shaped molecular structure. tRNAs have two regions of fundamental functional importance: the anti-codon, which is responsible for specific mRNA codon recognition, and the 3' end, to which the tRNAs corresponding amino acid is attached (by aminoacyl-tRNA synthetases). tRNAs cope with the degeneracy of the genetic code in two manners: having more than one tRNA (with a specific anti-codon) for a particular amino acid; and 'wobble' base-pairing, i.e. permitting non-standard base-pairing at the 3rd anti-codon position.
Source: RNAcentral
GGUGUAGCGCAGUUGGUAGCGCGCCUGCUUUGGGAGCAGGAUGUCGGGGGUUCAAAUCCCUUCAC